UACGAAGGGGGCUAGCGUUGCUCGGAAUCACUGGGCGUAAAGGGUGCGUAGGCGGGUUCUUAAGUCAGGGGUGAAAUCCUGGAGCUCAACUCCAGAACUGCCUUUGAUACUGAGAGUCUUGAGUUCGGGAGAGGUGAGUGGAACUGCGAGUGUAGAGGUGAAAUUCGUAGAUAUUCGCAAGAACACCAGUGGCGAAGGCGGCUCACUGGCCCGAUACUGACGCUGAAACACGAAAGCGUGGGGAGCAAACAGG
Molecule: ribosomal RNA, 253 nt
Filed under: uncultured bacterium
Lineage: Bacteria
Description: partial 16S ribosomal RNA
Rfam family: Bacterial small subunit ribosomal RNA
Source: RNAcentral